UACUUGACUGAAAGAAGAAAAGAAAUAAUAGGUUGGGUCGAAAUGUACUAUUUGGGUUGAUUAAGACAUUGCAGAAUUCGAGGCCAACAAGGCACACGCCGUGAACAAUCGAAAUCUGUAUACUUUUGGAGAGAAGCAAACACCACUAUACAUCUAGCAUAAUAAGGAAAAUAAGAUAUCUGAAUUUGGAUUUUAAUCCUAAUAGGAAAAAGAAAUACAAGAAGGUAAGAUAGGUUAGGAUAGGAUAGGAUAGGAUAGGAUAGGAUAGGAUAGGAUAGGAUAGGAUAGGAUAGGAUAGGAUAGGAUAGGAUAGGAUAGGAUAAGAUAGCUAGUAAAAACAAAUCUACAAUCAGGAAAUAAACUUUGAAUGCAUUUUUAAUAAUUAUACUCAAGACUGUCCAUAGAGAUGCCGUCAGGUUUGGUUAAAAAGGAGCCAAAUACUCACGGCUUGAACAGCGGAUCUCCAGAUAUCAAAGUCAUGUUGACAUUCACCUGUAAAUACGAAAAAUUAGACAGCGAUCAGAAGCCAUCAGAGCCAAUUCCAUAUUCUGCUGGUCUCAUGUCUUGAUCAAACAUCCACUCUCAAAUACACCCCUUUUCCUAUUUAACGUAACAUCAUCUCAAUCAACAAUGACAAUAUUUUUCAACCAAAUGCAACCCUCCAAUGGGCAUAACAUAAAUCAAGGUGCGAGCCUAGAAUAGAUAUGACAGGCAAGAUUGUACCAAAUGAAAGAUUUUAUCGAGACGAGUUAAAAAGUGGCAUUGGUUUUGGGGUAAUACCCAGUGAAGACGUCACUAUGAUGUGUUGAAAUCUUAGCACAUUUCAGUACAGUACACCUACAAACUAUAAAUUAUACUCCUAGCAUUCAACAGCAGAUAAAAUCCUUCAACUUCUUUUGAUAUGCAAUGUUAAUUAUAACAUGUUACUUUGGCUUCCAAAUUAUCAGUUUUGCUGACAAUCUCUAUCAUUUUUCUUAAGUGUAACUAGCAGAUCUGCAAUCAUUGCCAAAAGUACUUGGAACAACAAGCAAUUUACGUUGUGUUUUUAUAUGUUUCAAAUCUUUUCCCGGAUACUCCUAUUUCUGCACCCCCCCCCCCGAAAUAAUGAUGAUAAUUUAUAAAAAUAUCAUAGAAGUCGCAGAAAAAUGCGUUCUUCCUAAUCCCCUACACCGUUCUUUAGUAAACCAAAAUUGUUCAAAGAGGGAAGGGGAAUGGCUAAAUUUGCCCUUGAAAACUGACGUUAGUGUACCAAAACUUUUGGCAAGCGUCAGAUGCAUGUGGGAAUACAGUACAAAAGUGGCUCAAAAAGAGGGGUCUGGGGCUAGCUUAUGCGUUCAAGUUACAUCUUAAGGCAGGAAUGAAAAAAGAACUAAACACAAUAUCGAGCCCAAACUCCCCUACCAUCACAAUAAGCCGUACCUCCACAAACGAAAGGAGAAAAGGACGCGCCAACUUUAAAGGUGAACUGACACGCAAAAAUAUUUUUUGAUAUAAUGCAGAAAACGAUGCAUGGGAUCUUAAUUUAAAGUUUUCGGCAAAUUAAUUCCAUCGCGGGGGCCCCUUAGUUAUGAUAAACAACACCCUAAUCUCAGGAAAAACAUUUUGGGCUUUCGGUGCAUCAGCCCUUGUCUUGCCUGAGCAAUGAUGCAAUUUUAUGGUCGGUGUUUGAUUCCAGGGUAAAAACUGCCUCAGUUUUUUACCCCGAUAAUCAGACUGAUACACCUGUCACACAAUCGAAUGACUGUGUGAGAAGAAGUGAGACAGGAGAAGGCAGAAGGGAGCAUAUAACGGGAUAUAAGCAGGAGGAGAAGUGAGUACAAGGGGACAGGGAUGGGAGGGGAAAACGCGUACAAACAACGCGUGAGUCUUGCUGCAAAAUAUGACAUGACCCUAGCUGCAUCACUGUACGUAAACAAAUAUGCCAGGAAAAGACCACCUAGAUAAUACCACAAGGUGAUUAGCAAAUAGCUAAGGUAGCAUGAUAUCCACAGCCUACUAAGGAUAUACGUGUGGGACCACCCGAUUCUAGAAAAGGGGAAUCUGCGCACUUUCCCCGCGGGUAUUAACUCGAAUUAAACGAUUAAUUCCCAUUUAUUAUUGUCCGUUUUGACGCAAUUCCGCUCUAAAUUUCAUGAAAUUAUCGUCGAGUGUUUGACCAUUGUCGGCAUUUAAUGCGACCCAGUGCGUGUGAUGUCAUAAACACCAUGUUUUUAUUCUUGAAUGGAAAUCAGGCACGGACUGGACAGUUCAGUUCAUCUUGUUCAGUUACUAUUCAAGGAGAUCUACGUAGUCUUUGAUCAAAGAUGCAUGAAAAUUCGAGGCUAAUGAAAUGUACGAAGGGUAUGUGGUGGCUGGUACUGCGUUAUGUUAGGAGGGGAUUUGAGUUUGGAAGGAAUAGGCACUUUUAGCUGCUCGAAGAAAUUCUCAAUUCUGAAGUCAAUCGUGCGGACGAAUGUUGUCGAAAUGGAGCCAAAACCUUCUCAAUUAAUGUAUCGAUGCUCAUCCGCAAAGUCAUAAAAGUACGGCCUUCCAGACUGUCGUGUUGCUCAAGUGAUGUGAACAUGGUGUUUGUGACGUCAUGAUUAUGCGGAAGGCUCGGACAAACUUGUCUGUGCUCGGAAAAUGUUCAGUGACUUACAUUGACGCUCAAUAACUCAAAAACUGUGUUGAGUAUUAAAAUAAUAAUAAAGUAUCAGGUAUUUAUGCUCGAUAUGCUUUCAUUUGAGGUCAAGUUAAUUUUGCGUGUCAGUUCACCUUUAAAAAACCGCGUUCACUCGCCCUCGCCCAGUAAACUCAUCAUUUAAACCACCGCAACAAAUUACUCUUUUCAACUACCCAAAUAAAUGUUUAGACGAGUCCUUAAUUACACUUUCCAGGUUCCUAAACUCCAUUAUUAAAGAAUUUAGAUAAGCAGGCGUGUUAAGGCCACAUCAAUCUAGACAAUUUCGUUCUUGGUCAUUUCCGUUAUUUGCUUUUUCAAACCAAAUUAUUAGUAUCUGUAUUACGUUGCUUAGCCGCUUCACAACAACAUCCGCUCUUUAAUUCAGCGUUGCAUUAAGGAAAUGUAAUGAUACCCAAUAAAUAAAGCUUGAUGAGCCACUGCUAAAAUUUCUGUAAAACCUCCAAUAGCAUGAAAAUUAUACCUAAAAUUUGACCAUACGAUAUCGUUGUGAGCAUUUUCAACGAUUUUAAAAAAAUUAUACCUAACACUGUGAACAAAAUUUCAACGAGUUCAUUUAUGUUUUAGCAAUAUCUCUUCUUCUCAAUCUAGGCCCUUUUGAAGUAUUUGGGUGACAUUUCAGACCAGUAAACUAACCUUCAGGAUAGAAUUGUCUUGUCUUUGAUCUUUGUUAUCACUGUAACCUUCUAAAAUAUAUCGCCUGGAUGAUGACCCACAGCCCGCAAAUUCAGCAAAAUUCAUAUCAACAUAGCCAAGCUGAAAAGAAAAAUCAAACCAUCAAAAUCAGAUCGACAUAUAACAACAUUGCACAAAACCCUUUGGGAGGAAAAGGGUAAGCAGAAAGCACAACUGGGAAAAUGUUGAUAAAAAUUAACUUUUGCUGGUGUGAUAUACUGUAAUUACAAAUUAUGACUUUCCACUUGCUUGCAAGAAGUAAGCUCGUUUAAAAGAAGUGACCUUGCCAAAGGGGAGGAAAACUUUUUAAUUGUUCUUAGAAUCCAACAAUGGCUAAAGAGAAAACAAUCAUAGAAGGAUUGGCAAUAACAGGUUUAUGCAUUUAAAAGCAUCACAGGCCAAUUGGCAGAAAGCUGUGGUUGAUAUCUCCUGAUAUUAAUGUAAAUCUUUCUCUUCUCAUGUGCCAGCUUUAUUUUUAUAACUGUUUUUUAUCUAUUACAAAAUUUAGAAAGCUAUGGUAAUGCAGAACGAAAACUGCUUUGUGGAGGCAAUGUACCGCUGUACAAAAAUCAUCAGCAUUGCAAACCUUUUCAUAUGAUUUUCCACCUUUUAGUUCCUGGAAGGAAAUGAGGCAAUUAAUUGCAUUUCAUUGUUUAAGAACAUGUAACGCUAUAUUCCUAGGAAUCCAUUGCUUGCUACAUCAUAAUUUGAAACAGAACCAGGAAUAAAAUUUAGAAUAUGCAAACAUAUAAAUUGAAUAUGCAUACAUAUGAAUUCAAUAUGGAUUAAAUAUAAAUUUUAAACAUAGAAAAGGAACAGAUGACAAACAGGAAUCUAAAAGCAGGAGACAAGGAACUUGUAGGAGGAACAGGAAUAAAACAAUCAAUUUUUAAGAAAGAUGUAUAAAUAUUAUUAGAUUGAGUCUUUCAUCUUUUAUGUUACAGUCUUCUAGUAGCAGUUUAAUAUUAUCAAUCAUAAUUAAUAUUAACAACUUACAACUAUUUCUUGGCAUCUUUUCCUGCAGUUUAUAACCAAGGUUGGUUUAAAAAAGGGCAGCUUACAUUGUUCUAUCUAGAUCUUAUCAAGAUUUUCUGCUACCUUGAAGCAGAGGGUGAUAUCACACAAGAUAAAUCAGAAUAACUCUUGGAGGAUGCUUAUGAUCCCGUGCUAGACGUGGGUGUAAGUUCUAAUGUCUGUUUUUACAGUUAAGAAGUUUUAAAAUGGUAAUAAUUUUUGUGCUUUUGGAUCUGGCUUUUAAUCAAGGAUGGCUUACAUUAUUUGAUGAACCCUACCAAGGUCACUUGAAUACCAAGGUCAAAUGGAACAGUUGAAAUAAGAACGUCCUCUAAUAAGCUUCUAUUAAAAAUGUAUUUAAGAAAUAAACAUCUAGAAACAAUUUAGAAGUUACUGAACUUUGCAAAAUUUGUAAUUGGGAUUGUCAUGUAAUUCAAAUCAACGAUACACUUGUAUAUAAAUGUUUAGAUCACUGAAACAAAAGGGUACUUUAAACAUUUCUCCUAAAGGAAUAUCCUUGGAUUUCUGAUCUUGCUUCUAUCUUAUUGUGUUUUUGCAAUGAGAAAUUUUUAAAGUGUGUUUUUGCAAUGAGCUGUUUAUUCUUCUAUUGUACUAUCACUUGACUCCAAUUCAAUAAUGCUUUGUCGUGACUGUGUUUUAGACAAUAAAUUCCAGAAUAAGUAUAGGACUAAUCUAUUUCCAACUUUGCCAAACCAUUUCACAAAAUAUCAGAAACAAAUUGUAAGCCAUCAAUACAAAGGUGCAGCUCCAGUUGCAGCAAAAUCAUUUGCCAGUGGCACCAAAAGUUUUGCCAAGUUCCAGAUAUGUAAAUCUGUUUACAUCUGGUUUUGCUUCAAAAUUAAAUCCUCUCAAAUAUGUCUACUGCUCAAUGUAAAAGUUUUUUCCCGAGAAAAACAGCCACAUGCAAAAUCCUACAAAAAUGUAUACCUGUGGCCAAAAUUAGAACCCAAGUACCAGUCUUGUUCUUCUAGACUUCACUAUUUUCUAAAUCAAGAUCUUUGCAAUAUUUGAUUAAAUGAAAAAUCACCAAUUAUUAUUUCUAUGUAUUUCACUUUUUUGACUCAAAUUUUAUUGGUUGUGUAAUUUUUUUUAAGGUUGAUCAACAACAUAAACUGACCAGUUAACCACAUAAAAUAGCGUCAGGCUUGACAAAAGAGACAGCGGGUGAAUGGAUUUAGAUGCAAAAACAGCCAUUACAACCAGAUAAACACCAAGGACUCAAUGACUUGAUUCAUUCUUGAAGCUGACAAAAACUGCUUAUGACAUGGCAAACAAUAAAAUUGUACUUGCAAAGUGCCGUUUUUUGUCUAUAUGUUAGAUAAGGGCAGUUUAUAAUUGUGUGAAAACUUGCUCAAGUCAUAAGAAAGAAUUUAUCAUUCCUUUAUGAGAUAGACUUGCUCUAUUGGAGCAAUAAAUUUGAAAAAAUUUGCCUGAUUAGAGGGGCUGCAGCACCCCUAGCCUAUAUUUCUCCUUUGCCUGCACCCAUACAGAUCACAAUACUAUCAACCUUUUUUGGGUGAUUUCUUGGGUACAUCAUAUCCCUAUGCCAAGACCCCUUGUGCUCCAUUAAAAAAUAGAAUAACAACUGAAACAUAAAGCCAAACAAAAAACAAAAUAACCAUAACAACAAGAAAAGUAGAUGGCUACUCAAUGUCCCAGGGGUAGGGACACUGAAUGAAAUUUGGGAUUUUUGAAUAAGGGUUGCAUUCCACAACUUUGGUACAACCGUGUGCCUUAUUCUAAAUUAUGAUUCAGAAUGAGCUUUGGUUUGGGCAUCCUUAUCGACAAUUAACUUGAAUAGCGGUGUCUGGCCUUAUGUUGAUUGACGUAUCAUGCAUCACAGAAAAAAACCAAUAUGAACCAACCUUUCUAACUGAAACUCGACAAAGACAUGUUUCUAAGAUUCCUGUAGCCUGACUUGCUAUCAAUUUGCAUGAAAGGUUGAACUUUGAAUCCCAUCUUGCCGAGUGAUCUGCGACUCUUUUUCUGAAAUUCGACAAAAUUUCACUGUUAUGCCGAACGGCUUAUACUUUUGAUCUAGCCUUUUAAAUGAAAUGCAGCUGGUCAUUGACUUUUCCAUGACUUCAUUAAGCGAGGAGAAUUAAUCUCAAAGGAGAAAAGAUUGUUGUUUUACAAAAGGUUUAAAAAUUACCUUGUUGUGAAAGCAGCAAAAUGUCCGCCAUUCAAUUGGCGAACUUUGCAGAAAACUACACCAGUUAGAAAGGGUAUGCUUGAUAGCUCUUGGAUCUCAAGGCGUACAUCAAACACGAACUUUUUCUUCUUCAUUGGAAAGGCGACUGUUCCUUUUGAAUCAUUUCGCUUCGUUUUGAUUGGAAGUAGUUACUUUAUCGGCCAUUCCCAAACACAAGAACAUUCGCUGAUAUAGCCUCGAUACCAUUAAGAGGCUACAGUAAAAAGAAUUUUGAAAUUAUAUUUAGAGGUGACAAUGAAAUUACGGAAAUGUUGACUGUGCACUUCAAACGAAAUAGAUGAUGAAAUUAAUACCUUCAGUAUAGUUCCAAGCCACUACCGUACUUACCUAGUUAUUUCUAUCGCUACCCAUCUGUUUUUGAAAGCCUCACACACGGUAGCGAAAUUUAUGAAAUAAAAUUCAUCUAUAGAAGAAAAACGAAAACAAUCUGUAAAUUAAACUACCAUAUUAAACUGCUGAUUAUAUUUCUUAAAAGUUGUGUUGCAGUGUUUAGCUUUGUUUUGCUUUACGCUGCAAUGACAUUAAAACUCUAAAUCGACGCUUGGUAAUUUAAAAGAGUUUUUACAAAAAAUCUUGUCAGAUAAAUUUUCGACGGAUAAACUUCGUCGAAAAAAAUUGUGGACAAUUUUUCAGAAUUUUUCAUGAUUUCAUACCGAGUACCUUAAAUUACAGUUUUGCAUAGACAAUUGGUUUUGUUGCAUUUAAAAAUGACCGAAUCAACAACCUAGGGUAAACAACCGGUUGCUGUUGUGUAAGUUUGCUGUUACUGCGUAUGUUUAUGUAACUGCGCAUAUCUGUUUUAUAACUAACUAGAGGAUAAUUUACCAUAAUGCGUUCACAGUUCUUUUAUAUUAUGCCGUGGGAAAUUUAGCGUGUAAUAUAUUUACUUAAAUUAUUUCUUUUUGGUUGUAUUCCCAAUACUAACUACAGUUUGUUUGUUUGUUUUGAUAACCAUAGAUACGUUCACUAAUUUUUUUAUUCAGAUUGGUUGUGAGUUGUUGAAGUGUAAUAGUGAUUUUGAUUGAUGAAAUGUUAUGUUAUUUGAAAUGAAGUUAUCUCCUUGAAAGUUGGAAUCUGUUUCGCGGAACCAGUAUGUUGUACAGUUGCUAUCAUUUGACUUUGUCUUGUCCUGUUUUAAUGUUUCAUGCAUUACACUUUUUAUAAGAAUAAUACAAUUUUUCAACACUGGGUGCUCUAUUUUAGUAAUAAUUUUAAGCCCUGGUGUUCUGAAAAUAGUAUUUAUUUCAAAAUUAAUUUUUUUAUAUCUGUAAUUUAAUGGAUACUUUCCGAGGCCCCUGAAUAACAGUUAUGCAUGACAUUUUUAGUGGCACUGUUCAAUAGCUGAUAAAAUCGCCUUUGUUUUGUUACUACGAGAGAAAUUGUUUCAAUUCAAAAUCCAACCAAUGGGUCAUUAUCAAAGAAAGUCGCAACUCCUACAGCCCCUACCAAGUCCGUCCCUGGUUUUUCUAUGCGAAUUCUCAAAAAUGUUAAACUGUUUAGAUUUGCCCUCGCAAUAGUACGAAGGCUUUACGGGUCAAACAAAAAAUAGACUUUUUACAAAAAUGUUAAAUGCAAAAAAUUUCUUCGUGACAAAAUUUCUUCCUUUUGAAUUUAGUGGACGAAAAUUUCGUCAAAAUACUGUUGUCAGUGCGGAAAUCAAAACCGAUCUAAUCAGCCCCCCACAAAAAUUUUCGAGAAAUUAGAAAAGCAACAUGUCCACCACAGUCCACCCCAUGGCGGUCCCACUGCAGUAGCUUUAGUUGAUUUUUGCACUUUCUUAUUCAGUGUUCUCACUUUUAAGGAAAUUCCCUUAAACUAAGGAAUUUGUUGACAUUUUGAGGUAAUUCAGUUAUUAAGGAAAUUUCAAGGAAUUUCCAAAAUUUUGAGAAAUUUGUUUUAAUACUUUUCUACGAUCAAGGAAAAUUACACAUUUCGAACCAAGCACAAAAUUGAAUAAAAAGUUAAAAAUAGAUAUGAGUCAUCAAAUAGGUCUUUAAAAAACUUUUUUGAUAAAUGCGGACAAAACAUUUCCAGACAAACACUUAUUAAAUGAUGUGCCAAAAUCAACUGUAAUUUAACGUCAAUAUAGGUGUAAUAGAAAAUUCAACCUUGAAAUGUUUUCUACUUUCAAAACAAGACUGUUUUUCGAUGCAAUUAUUUGUGUUUUCUUGAUUUCUAAAAAUUCCAAACUUUUGGACAAACAAAUUUAAGAGAAAUAAAGUUACAGAAUUUUUGUCCGACAAUUUGAUCGUCUGAAUUUUUGUUCAUCCGAAAGUAUUCAGAUUAAAUGUAGAUGGAUGACUUGAUUUGACACUUAAAUUUAUGGCAACGAUUGUUUUAAACUCGGUUUUAACGAUAUAUUUUGCAAAAGGUAGGUUUUCGUAAAUCUAAGGAAUUUUUCUGACAUCUGGGGGAAUUUUCGUGCGAGUUUAAGGAAAUUUACAUGAAGCAAACUGAGAACACUGUUGUUAUUAUUAUGAUUUUGUUUUGCGUCGAAAGCAACUCACAUUUUUUGAAAGUGCAAACUCUGAUCAUAUCAUAUAACCUAGAAUUUUUAUUUAAUAAUUUACCUAGAAAAAUUUAGUCAAAAGUUAUUAAAGGAAAACUUGAGGGUAGUUUGCGUGCGAAUCGUCAGAGCGAAUCGUCUGGGUCGUCAAGCCUAAUCAGAUUCGAAAUGACGGAAGGACGAGCCACCUUUGAUUGAUGACCCGAAUUUGAAUGAUUGCAAAUGCUAGCACCUUAUUGUGCACGAUUAACACUGGAAAGAAAGAAACGAAGAAGCCACGCGGAAAAAGACGUCCUGUCACACAAGUGCGAUGGGUCCUGAUUCAAAAUCGCCUAGGCCGCAGAGAACUCCUGGCGUUUUGUUUUUUAAUCACUUCCCGAAGAACUUUCUACGGCCUUAUGGCCGGGCAGAGGGUAUGCCCUCGAAGGAGAAGACCCUCUCCCGGCUUCAACCGGAGGGAUGCGAAUGGCUAAGGCGUCCGCACGUUGCAGUUUCUGAGCUGGCUGCAACAAUGCAGGGGAACACCGAUCUUUUGAAAGAAAAGGCAGAUUUUUUUACCACGGAGAGCUUGGCAAGUUUUUUCAAAAAUAUUCAGCCUUUUGUAACACAACUCACGCCAUUCAAUAAAGACAGUCCAAUGAAUCCAAGCGAAAACCAAUGCAGGGACCUCCUGAAAACGAUGCUUUCUACAUCAGCUCAACUGGAUAAACAGUUGGAUACUGCUCUCGAAGUUGGAUCUGCCCUCUUUAUCUUGGCAAUCCAAUUCAAGGUUGCACAAGUACUCAUAUCCAACCCUGUGGAUUACGCUAAUAAAAUGACCUUACAUCCAAACCCUGAGCCAGCUUUCAAAUAUUCAAACAAUCUGUUACAUCUUAUUCCACUCCUCCGCCAGUAUUCUUCCAUUUCGCAACCAACUCCGCCCGUUUCAAGUCUAAUUGAAACACUACUCGAUGAACUAUCUUCAUCAUCUUCGUCCUCACCUUCAUCAACCAUCACAAAGCCAAAAAAGUCAAAGAAAAAGAAGAAGAAAAGAUCGUACUCUCCAGAACCCGAAGAAGAACCUCCAAAAAAGAAAAAGAAGUCAAAAAAGAAAAAGGAGUCAAAAGAGAAAAAAGAGUGAGAACUUUAACUGAACUUAAGUUGUCGCAAUUUCAAUUCUUUCGGGUUUCGGGGUUGCAACAAAACAUGGUUUGCGCCAUUGGUGUACACUUUGGCGCAGGAUUGGCUUGAUAACGUUUUUUCGAUUUUGAAUGAUAUACACCAAGCCUAGAGAAAAUUGUCCUGUGGUAAGCCAUUGUUUCGCUAAAUAUUGUACCCAUUGCUACGUCAAAAGGUAGGCCUAUCCUUACAAAAGGGUACUCCAUUGACGUAGACCAGUUCUUGUCACAGCCAAUGCUGUUUACUUCAGGAUGCUUAAUUGUAAAGCUAGGUUUUCAUGGAGCUGUAUCUAUGAAAACGUUGGGGAAAAGUUUCUGUUAAGCUUUGCGUUUAUUAGUUUCCGUUGAGCCACUCUAAAGGUAUCUUAUUCCGAAUUCAUUGUCGUAGAGAAGAAACCCGUUGUGUAGUUGUAUCGUCUGUAUAUAUUUAUAGCCAACCGUAUAUCAGAAAUUAAGACAGAAAGUAAAAGCCUAAACAGGAAUUCUAAAUUAUUUCUUUUAGAUUAACGGCUCUUCCUAAUUUAUAUGACAGUUUAUAAAAAUCAUUCCCAUAACAUCAACCACAUAAAAUUUCGUCAUAUCAUAAUUUAGGACAAUAAUUUGACGUAGUUUCCUUCGACGAAAUUUCAAGACAAAAUUUUGGUCACGACGAAAUUUUUUUCAGUUCUAAAAUAUUUACAUUUCGAAAAAUUAAACUAUAAUAUGGGGUCAGGUAUGAAAUUUAUAAUAAUCCACGUCGUUUUCAUCGUCUUCUAAUUUUAAUAGUACAACUUUACUAUUUCCUUUAUUCGUUCAAGGUAUUUUAGCUUUUUAACACAAAUUUUGAACUCUACAUGGAAUUUCCAGGCUAACUUUUCCUACUGUAGAUGGUCUUCUACUGUCCAAUUCUUAUAUUUAUACAUAUACUUUUAACGACGAAGCUCCUUUUUGUAAAUGUACUUUUAAAUGUCAAGAUCAAUGUGCCUUCUAUCAGUGGAUUUUUGUGAAAUCGAUUAGAUAAUUUUUUCUCGAAAAGCCGGGACAAAACAGUGUAGUCUGACAGUUGUUUAGUUAUUUGUUUGCUGAAAACGAUCAACACGGCCUAAAAUUUCUUGACAUUACCAUCUGCUGAGGGUUGUGCUUUUUUCUUCUUCAAAGAGUAUUGUAUUUUGUUGUCUUUAGCAGAAAAUGUCUUCGAAAAUGGAGAGUUAUUGCCUUUUUGUAGUAACGACCCCACUAAUUCUGCAAUUUGUAAAUAACCUUUCGUUAAUGUUGGCUACACUUUUAAGCUUGUUUACAUAAAUUUUGAGCUUUAAAAUGUGGAGUUA
Rhopilema esculentum is the source of this 11572-nucleotide non-coding RNA. The record is from RefSeq and is a predicted model, not a curated record. Lineage: Eukaryota; Metazoa; Cnidaria; Scyphozoa; Rhizostomeae; Rhizostomatidae.